UAGUUUAAAAAUAAAGUUAUCAGGCUAAGUAAAUUCUGUUCUUUUAUUUAACUUGAUGAUGAAACAGUAACUUAAACAGGUAUGUCUGAUGUGACAGGAUUUUUAGAAAGGGAAUAUUUACAUAUCUAAUUUUAGUAAUUUUUUUCUAAGCUACCUUUAAAUUGCCAUUAAUAGGAGGUAAUGACUAUUACAGAGUAUUUUUACUUUCAACUCCUUCUACAUAUAUAUUGGUAUAAAUGAAAUACCAGGAUUUAGUCGUUCAGCACAGUACAUGGAACAGGAGUACAUGAGGAAACAGAGUUCUAGAAAUAUACCAGUGCUUAAAUAAGUGGCUUAAAUUCUUAUACUUUGGGCUCCAGAGCAAAUCAUUUUGUUCCUGCUAGUGAUAUUAUGUCCAAUUUUGUGUUUUUGUUUUCAGUUCUCAGGCAUUAUUCUGGGAUUUUAGGGGGGCAGUAAGGUGGGGUGAAAAAUUGUAGUUGACAUUUUCAUCUGGAGAAAAACAAGUCAUCUGAUAAAAGUAAUUAAUCUUCUAGUUCAAAGCAACUUCAGAAUUUUAUGUUUAGGAAUUACCCAUGGGCCUAAUUAGUCCCAUUUAGAAUAAUUUCUUAACUUUAGAAUGCCUGGUGGACAGGGAAGAUUUAUUUACAUGUCUAGAUUUUAGUUAAGUUAAAUUUUGCCUGGCUUGUUUAAAUUUGUAGAAAAGCAAACCACUUAUUUAUUCUUCUUAAGAGCUGAUUUGACGUAGAUUGUUUGUAUCAAAAUACACUGAUGCCUAGAUUGGUUUGAAAUCAUUCUAAGUGAUCAGCUAGUUUGAUAACUGCUUAAAGGAAAUAGCUUUGGAUAAACAACUCAAUGAGACUUUGGAGAAAACAAGCAUCUCUUUUUUUUUUUUAAGGAGUGGCUAUCCAAUAAUAUCACUAUGAAAAAAAUAAGAUGAUUCUACUAUUUUAAAGAUCAUACUGGAAGGGUAAAAACUGGAGGAAAAAAAUAUCUUCUAAUACCAAGUAUUAUAAUGAAUAUUUUAAACUCUAAUUUGCAACCUCACUUUAAAACCUGGCAA
This 1060-nucleotide long non-coding RNA is filed under the name Homo sapiens (human). RNAcentral's name for it is "HSALNT0211008". Lineage: Eukaryota; Metazoa; Chordata; Mammalia; Primates; Hominidae. The record is from RNAcentral.